CAGGCUGGCCGGGCGAUCGCGGCCCAGAGCCGAAGCCCUGAGCGAAAGCUAAGGGUCAGGCGAAGGGUCGAGGAAAGUCCGCACUCCACAGAGCACGGCGUCGGGUAACACCCGGGGCGGGGCAACCUGCCGGAUCAGGGCCACAGAAACAGGUCGCCGUGAGUGGAGAAGAGAGAUUAGAGAGUAGUCUGUGACUAUUCUCUACUCUCGAAUCUCUACUCUCGGUCAGAGUGAAAAGGCGGUGUAAGAGACCACCGGCGCCCGCAGUAAUGCAGGCGGCCAGGCAACCCCCGCCGGGAGCAAGGCCAAGCAGAGACAAAGUCGCCUCCGGGCGGCGGGAGGCUGCUCGUCUCCCUUGAGUCUCGGGUAGGCUGCUAGAGCGGCGCGGUAACGCGCCGCCCAGAGAGAUGAUCGCCCAGGCGGAGAACCGGGAUGAAGCUCUGAGCUUCGGCGAAGAGUGUAAACCGGAACCCCCUCCGCUGGACAGGAUGCGGCUUACAGACCAGCCUGAGGU
Molecule: RNase P RNA, 514 nt
Filed under: Chloroflexota bacterium
Lineage: Bacteria; Bacillati; Chloroflexota
Description: Chloroflexi bacterium (groundwater metagenome) RNase P RNA component class A
Rfam family: Bacterial RNase P class A
About the family: Ribonuclease P (RNase P) is a ubiquitous endoribonuclease, found in archaea, bacteria and eukarya as well as chloroplasts and mitochondria.
Source: RNAcentral